RNAcentral lists this non-coding RNA (24 nucleotides) under Arabidopsis thaliana (thale cress). The record is from RNAcentral. Lineage: Eukaryota; Viridiplantae; Streptophyta; Magnoliopsida; Brassicales; Brassicaceae.
ACAUCCCGAACAAUCCGCUCUCUU